This 544-nucleotide ribosomal RNA is filed under the name uncultured bacterium. Its description in RNAcentral is "partial 16S ribosomal RNA". It matches the Rfam family "Bacterial small subunit ribosomal RNA", at positions 355 to 889 of the family's 1533-position model. The record is from RNAcentral.
UGGGGAAUCUUCCGCAAUGGACGAAAGUCUGACGGAGCAACGCCGCGUGAGUGAAGAAGGUUUUCGGAUCGUAAAACUCUGUCUUUUGGGGCGAACGUGAGUAUGGUGAACAAUCAUAGUCAGUGACGGUACCAAAGGAGGAAGCCACGGCUAACUACGUGCCAGCAGCCGCGGUAAUACGUAGGUGGCAAGCGUUGUCCGGAAUUAUUGGGCGUAAAGAGCGCGUAGGCGGGAUAGUCAGUCUGUUGUAAAGUGCGGGGCUCAACCCCGUGAUCGCAAUGGAAACAGCUAUUCUUGAGUGCAGGAGAGGAAAGUGGAAUUCCCAGUGUAGCGGUGAAAUGCGUAGGUAUUGGGAGGAACACCAGUGGCGAAGGCGACUUUCUGGACUGUGUCUGACGCUGAGGCGCGAAAGCCAGGGGAGCGAACGGGAUUAGAUACCCCGGUAGUCCUGGCCGUAAACGAUGGGUACUAGGUGUGGGAGGUAUCGACCCCUUCCGUGCCGGAGUUAACGCAAUAAGUACCCCCGCCUGGGGAGUACGGUCGC